UGAGCCAGCCUGCACACCCAUGGCACCCACAGCACCACCAGUGUCAUCGAGUUCCAGCCCCAGCACCUCCCACCGCCGCCACACACCACACAGGUUCCUUCACUGACAGAAAAUCAACAGAAAGCAAAACCCAACUGUGGGUUGAGGCAGAAAAUCAAACCAGUUGUCCAAGCCCAAGCCAAGUGACAGAGGCUCCUUCCAGCAGCUGCACCAGGUGAGUUCCUGUGGGGCACUGAGGCUGGGCUGCUGCCCCUUGGGCACACUGGCAUCACUGGCCAUGGCUGGAAUGUGCCCCACAGGCACAGGUGGCCUCUGGCCAGGUGCUGGCACUCAGACGGUCAGACAGACAGAUGGCUGUAACACCAAGUGUAAGUGCAAAAACAGAUGGGGGCCCAACGGCACAUUUCCCAAAAACACAAUCCCUUUGCUUAAAGCAGCUCCCAUUCUGCUGGGAGGUGUGCAUGUGUGUGUGUGUGCCCAGGAGCAACCAGCAGCAGGACAGGGCUCUGUAGCUGCUGCAUCUCAGAUUUCUGUUGCUUUAAAAUACCUGGGAUUGAACUAUAACAAUUUUCACCCCAUCAGCCUAUGACACGUGUAAACCAAAACAGAUCAGCUACUGCCAACAGGAGCUCUGCCCACUACAGCAGGUGCCAGGAGGGCACACAGAGUCCUCAGAAGCCUUCAGCUGUGUUGUACUCUGGCUGGAGACAGGUCACAGCCUGCUGGGACAAGGUGAGGAGGUUACCCACUUGUUCACACUGUGCUGGGAAGGGCUCAUGGCAGGAGUGUGGCUUUUGUUCUUCUAAAAGGGAUUUGCUUAUUUUUGUUUCUCUAGGGAGCAGUUCCAGUGCACAGCCAUUGCACAGAGCACAGAAAGGCCAUGGCACUCCCACAGUGGGACAGCACCAACCCCAGAGCUCCUCCUCAACCACCUGUGCUCCAGCAGGGAACAUGUACCUGGCCAGUCACAGGAAAGCCUCUCCUUAGAAGAAAUUCCCUAAUGCACAGAGAGCUGGAAACAAGCAUUCCCAGCAUGAGGGCUGGCACAGAAUUCUCCCUGGAAGGUGCCUUAACCUUUGGAAAAAUUCUAGAGAAUCACAAUUUCUUCCACUACGUAACAGGUAGGAGGGAGGAACAGCCUUGGAACCAGGCAGGGAGAGCAGAGGAAUGUUCUGAACUCUCUCUGAAGGCUGGCACCAUUGGCACCCCCUCUGAACCUCUGAGAGAUGGUUGUGUUUUGAAGCAUAGACCCACUUCCAGUGCAGCAACUGACUCCAUUCUCAGCUGUGCCUGGACAGGCCACAGCUCUUCAUCCUCCCUUCACCUUCCUAGCCCAGGUAAAUCUCAAAUGUGUGCAAAAUGCCCCAAAAUGCAGCAGGGCCUUGGCUGAGCUGGCCCUCGGGUACAGGUGAGCAGGGCACUGUGCGUGCAGGACAGGUGGGGACAUGGCCACAGGUCAGUGUGGCAGCAGGAUGAGCCCUCAGCUGCUGUCUGAGGACAAAGACACCCUGGCUCUGGGCUGCACUUCCAGGGUGAGGUGUAACCUGUGCUUGUGCUUGAGCAGCUCUGGGUGUUUGAGUGACUGAAAGCAGGAGUGGAACAGCAGCAGCACAGCCCGAAGUGUGAACCCCCUCAGCCUGCCUGCAGCCCUGCGUUUGCAUCUCAAAGACAGCCUUUACUUACCAGAUUGGUUCUUUGAGAAAACUGACUGAGGGGAAAUAGCACAUUUUAAAAAGGUGGAAAGUGUGACUUAGCCUGUAAAGGCAUUUUCUGUGAAAAAUGGAGAGCUGUCAACUUUGGAUUAAAACAAAACCUGUGGUGCUAUUGGCUGGGGAGAAAAGCGUGGGGGAGGGAAGGGCUUCGAGGGAGGUGUUGUGCUUGACAUUCCUGCAGUGAGGCAGAAUGGCAGAUGGUCAAAAUAAUAGUUUUCUCCAAAUGGACAAGCUGAAGCAGCUUAGAAGUAAAAAAUAAUUACCAGGCACAUAUCGUGGGACAUAUUACUGCGUGUGGCUCACGGGAGGCAUUACCUGGCACAUAGAGUUUGUACUGUUCACAGAUCGUGAGAUGGCAUUACUGUACACAUAUUGUGGGCAUUAAUGUACAGGAGGCAUUACUGUGGUGUUUGUAGGAGGCAGAACUGCACGCGGAGUUUGGGAGGUACGAGGUGAACACAGAGCAUGGGAGGCUGAGCAGAGGAGGUGUGAGCUGAGCAUGGAGCAGAGGCAGCAAGGGAGGAGGAGGGCAAGGAGAGCUGUUCCUGAUGAACCACAGCAGAGGGGCCUGCGGGAAGCAUUGCUCUUACCUGUGGCUGUUACUGUACCGAGAGCAUUAACACUCUAAUCUAAAGGGAGAGAACAAAACCACAUCAGUGCAGGACCAAAAUGGGGGAACAAAACCAUGUCAGUGCAGGAGCAAAGGGGGAAAACAAAACCAUGUCAGUGCAGGACCAACGAGGGGAACAGAACCAUGUCACUGCAGGACCAGCACCCUGUGACUGCUGUGGUUGCAUCAACCUGACACAGCACACCCCAUUAAAGGCAGGAAGGGGAGCUCCCCUCAGGGACCUGCAGAAACACACCCCCAUGAACUUUCUCCUGGGGUCUGAGGACUGAAACAACCAAGGGAGGGAAUGCUGGCAAAAAUUGGAAUGAAUAUUCAUUGUGCUUCAUCUUCUGUCAAACCUGCUGCCGUGCAAUGGUGGCGUGCAGCUCCUUCAUGCCUCAGCUCCACGUUCAGCACUGUUGCUGGUCACACCAUUUAAAACUGACUAAAAUUUGAGGCUUCAUGGAGACCUAGAUAUCUGUGACACUAUAGCCAGGUUAAAACUCCAGGAAUUGAGCAGUGUAGCCAUCCUGGUGCCAGAAGAGCAAGUCCUUGAAUGCAUAAAACCUGUCCAUGAGCAGUCACACACCUGCACUAAGACACACACACACAGUGGAGGGCCUCUCACAGGUGAGGCUGCUUAAAGAGCAUUAAGCUUUCAAAAUACAUUUCUUGCAGGAGGAAUUAAAAACAAUUAAAAUAUAGAUGAUGGCAUUUUAAAUGCAAGGUUACCUUGCAGGAAGCCAGAGAGAGAUGGUGUAUUGCAUCUUAAAUCCAGUUUACAGAAUAAACCUGGUUCCUUCCCCAGGGCAUGUGCUCUAGGAAUGGCAUUUUAGCCACUGCUCAUGAAGCAGCUGAACACCCCUGAAAGCAAGGGUGGGUAAGACCAUGACCUGUAAGGAUGCUGAAGACUGGUACUUGAGAAGAACCAUGAAGUUUUCACAUGGGCUGUGAACUGUUCCAAUCCCCUGUUAACCUUUCAGCCAGGACAGGUCUGUGGAAAUCUUUGUUUUCCUUCCUAGUAAAUGCAAAGGUAAUAAAAUUCCCGAGAGAAUCGUUGUCAUAACUCUGCACAGCGUUCUGUUUCCAACUCCCCAAGACAGGUUCCAAGUACACUGUAAGCAGCAUCCUGAGCCUGUGUAGAAAAACCCAUGGAUAAUUGAAACUGGGUUAAAGCUACACACUUCCUCCAGUGCCCUGGAAAGCUGUAAGUGACACAGUAAAGAGAAUCUGACACUACAGGUUAAUAACUGGGGCAGAAUGGGCCUUAAAACAGCACCCACAGCUCCCAGCUCAGGUGGGAGUGCCUGGCACCUCUGUGGGCCUCCAAGGUUUGAGCACCUCGGAAAUAAGCCUGAAAUGUACACAUUGAACUUUAAUUACUCUCAAAUUGGAGUAGCUGCUGAUUAGUUUUGCAAGGCUCAGCCUCAGGCAGAGGGAUCCCAAGUGCUGGGGGCUAUGUGGGUGUCACAGGUGGGGCAGCCCAAGCCCUGCAGGACAGCUCUGCCCCAUUUCUGCUCUGCCUCUGCUGCAGGUCUCUGCCAGAGCCUCAGUGCAGAGGGAAAUGCAAAGGGGCCACAUUGCCUGGAGCCUUCUGCGAGCUGACAGCUCGAGCAGCUGGAGCUGUCACUGGGCAGAAGAGACGGCCCAUCAAGCUCAUAUUUCUGCCCAUCCCAGCACUGAUUGCUGGGAUAAACCCUCCCUCAGCACCUCCUCUCCUGGAGAGCGAAGCUGGGGGAGCACCCUGUGAGCCAAUUAAUUACAUGGGAAAGGCAGGGGGCCAGGCUGAGAACCCUGAUGCGGCUCUCACGCCCCCCUGCACUGUUGGAGAUCCCGAGGGGAGCAUCAGGCUGGAGGGGGAAGCAGUCCCAGCACCUGCCCAGCCUCGGGGGACGAGUUCAGACUGCCCACCCUCAGUGGGGGCACAAGGGACAGCCCCAGCACACUGGGCAGGCAGCCACUUCCUUGGGGCUCUGCAGGGAUCUGGGCUCCUGGGCACACCCUGCACCAAUCAGCCACAGGAAACUGGAGGGGGACAGAGCUGCUGCCCCAACACUUGGUGGCACCUGUGACCCUGCCCUGCUUAAUGCCAGACCAUUCCUGACCCUCACGGGGACACUAAGGCAGGAAAAUGAUGGGACAGCACUGAUAAGCAAGAGCACACAGGCAAGGAGCAGCUCCCACCUCUGCUGGUGCACUGCAGGAACUUCCCAAGGGCAGCCCAGCUGUGGCAGGCUCCACUCUGCUGAGGAUGAGGAACUACCUGGACUGAACAGAUGGGGAAGCCAGACAGGUCCCUGUGCCUCAUCCUGAAUAGUCCUCACAGGAAAGGAGGAAGAAGAGAAAGCCCUUGAGUCCUGCCUCCUGUGGUAACUGUCCUGGCUCCUCUGCUCCACUUCCCUCAGCUUUUCCUCUUUGUUCACUGCCGGGACAACCUGCACCACCAUGGCAGCACCAACACUGCACAGUGUCCCACCUCAGCCAUGCUCCAUGCUAGCAACAAUUCCCUGUUCUGCUGGGAACCAGGACAGUCAGGAAUUUCCUAAAUCCCAUAUAUUAGAAACAAAUUGUUCCGUUUCAGGCAAGGCUGACACACGGAUUAAACCCAACCCCUGGCACACUGCACAUCCUCUGAUACCAGGAACCAGCUACUCGGUUUCACAUGUGUAUGUUUUUAAAAUUCCCAGGAAAAUAGGCAAAAAUCCUACAUAUCUAUAUAUAUGUGUGUGUGUAUAUGUAUAUAUAUAUAUAUACACACACAGGACAUGGACACAGAUCUGACAAAACACCUACAGAGCUUCAAGGAAAAAGACAAAAUAACAAAAAUCCCAAAGUAGUAUAAAAACCCCAGAAAAACCAAAUUAAAGCAAAAUGAAUCCUUAGCUCAGUUACUGCUACUAAAAGCAUCAGUCCUGUUUAAAACAAGAAUUACUCUCUGGGUUUGGUUUUGUUUCUGUCAAAAAUCUAUUUUAAAUCUGCAUGUCCAAUUCAAAUAAUCCUUUUGCUUUAAAGUAGGAAAGAUAAAGCUCAGCACUGAACAAAAAGUGGUUUAAAAUAAGCCAGAUCUUGUUUGCUGUACAUUCAAAUAUUUUCUACAAGAACUUUAUGCAUGCAAAAGUCCAGAGACAAAAGGAAAGCAUGUGUCACCUUUGCAACAAAAAGGCUGCAAAAUCUCGGUUUUAUGUAAAUCAGCAGGCACAGCUCCCGGGGCUUUAAAACUAGGGAAUGCUGAAAACCUCAAUAGUUCCUCGACUCAAGUGUUGCGCUUGGGCAAUGCCAUAAUAUUCAUUUAAGAAUCCAUUUAUCAACAGAUACCACAUGUCCAAGUUUUCCAGCACAGCUCUUCUGAUGAUCUACUGAAAAGGAUUCUUUAAAAACAUUAAGCUGGAGAAUCCAAGAUGCUUUCUCUGCCCAUUCCACACUACCAUUAGCAACUAAAAAAGCCAAGAUUUACACUAUAUCCUCCCUGAUAACGCUGAGCAUUGUGCUUUAUUUUCCAAGUCAUUAGCAUGCACAAGAAUGACCUCAUGGUGAACAGAUGCACUUGGAUAUGGCAGUGAUUAGAUCAGUCCUCUCAGCAGUCAAGUGUGCCCGCUGCCAUUAACCCCUGAGGCGCCGGCGGCGGCAGCGCUCCGCUAGGGGGUUCCCUGGAACGCAGGGACCGGCCCUGGCCAGCACAAACCCCUCGCACAGGAUCCUCUGUGACUGCACAGUUCUCCUGGAAUACACUUCCAAAGGUUCACACCCUGCUUCUGCCUGCUGAUCUUACACUAAAGCACACCAAAGCCCCAAGGAGCCACUGAGGCAGAUGAAGUCGAGGUGCUGCUCUGCCCACUUCAGCUUCACCAAUAUUUUAAAGAACACACAAGUAUUUUGUGGAAUAAUUAUUUCUGGUUUUGGCUGAGAGAGCAAGAGCAUCAGCUUAAAGCCUGUCCACUAAAAGGAGAGAAAUCUGCAGAGGGAAAGAAUGAGAAUAAUUCAAUAGUGUUGGAUUAUGGAGGAUUUCCUGGGCUGCCUCUCAAACCCUGCCUAAUUAAAAUACAGCAUGUAAUGCACCAGUUUAACAACAAAGGGCCAUAUUCCCAUCUUUUGUUCCUAAUCUGCACAUCCCCUGCAUGAGUUUGGGGAUGGCCAUUCUGCCUAUGAGGCUGAAGGUAUCAGGGCUAUCUGUAAUCCACACAGGGAGUAUAAGGCUCUGCUCCACAAAACAUCAACUAGACAAUUUUCCUGCAGAAAAUGCAGCACCUGCAAGACUGGUGACAGGGAGACUAAGCCAGGGCAGGAAAACCACAUCCCACAUGAGUCUGGGGAUGCAUCCCCAGGGGCAGCAUCAGAAACACAAAAACAUCCAGUUCCAAGAAUUAUCUCAUAGCCAGCGAGACCCCAGUAUGUCACUGAGAGCUGAGUUUGAUUUCUCCCUGUGCUGGGGUAACUCCUGAGAACACUGCACUGGGAUAAGCAGCACCCUUGCUCCCUCACCCUCUCUGCUGCACACAUGCAUUUGCAGCACUGACAGCAUCACACCUGAGGGGCAUUACAAGAAUCAGGUCAGAUGAGAAUUAAUCUUAAAUUUACCUGAGCAGUUUAUGCUCAGCGGAGUCAGCAGUACCAGCUGGCUUGUACUGCCACCUGUGCCAGCUCCAUGCAUCCCACAGAAUCAUCAAGGCUGGAAGAGAUCAACAAGUCCAGUGGCCAAUCCAGCACCACCAUCAUCAUCCCAAGAUCAUCUCCUGACACUUCCAGAUACGAGGAACCCAGUGCCUCCCUGGGCAGCCUGUGCCAGUGCCUGACCACUCCUUCAGGGAAAGGUGCUUCUUUUUAUUAACUGCUCCCUGACUCCUUUUUUCUGUUUCAGAAUAGAAAAAUGCCCCUUGCAUUCCUAAGUGGCAGACAGGUGGAUCUUUGCCUGGAGCAGGCCUGGCUGGGGAACAGUGGAGCUGCUGGGACUGCAUCCAGCCUCCCUGCUGACCGCUGAGGGGCAUCUGAUGGAAAACACAUCCCCAUGGCCACAGCUGACACUGCCCCUGCUCAUCACUGGCUACAUAUGCAGGAGAAUCAGCAGGUAAUGUGAGGAGACUCUCUGAAGCGGAGAUUCUGACACCAGAAGUCAUGGCCAGCCUCCAGUUCAUGAGCGGGAAAUUAAUUCUGAGGUUCACAAGUCUGAAAACUGGGACCUGACUGGGGUAGGCUUUGCACUUUAAAGCAAUUAAAAUAAUUAAAUCAUA
Non-coding RNA from Zonotrichia albicollis (white-throated sparrow), 7547 nucleotides. Lineage: Eukaryota; Metazoa; Chordata; Aves; Passeriformes; Passerellidae. The record is from RefSeq and is a predicted model, not a curated record.